RNAcentral lists this ribosomal RNA (253 nucleotides) under uncultured bacterium. RNAcentral describes it as "partial 16S ribosomal RNA". It matches the Rfam family "Bacterial small subunit ribosomal RNA", at positions 524 to 776 of the family's 1533-position model. The record is from RNAcentral.
UACGGGGGGGGUAAGCGUUGUUCGGAAUUACUGGGCGUAAAGGGCUCGUAGGCGGCCAACUAAGUCAGACGUGAAAUCCCCAGGCUCAACCUGGGAACUGCGUCUGAUACUGGAUGGCUUGAAUCCGGGAGAGGGAUGCAGAAUUCCUGGUGUAGCGGUGGAAUGCGCAGAUAUCAGGAGGAACACCGGUGGCGAAGGCGGGUCUCUGGGCAGUAACUGACGCUGAGGAGCGAAAGCGUGGGGAGCGAACAGG